Molecule: ribosomal RNA, 215 nt
Filed under: uncultured bacterium
Lineage: Bacteria
Description: partial 16S ribosomal RNA
Rfam family: Bacterial small subunit ribosomal RNA
Source: RNAcentral
UACGUAGGGUGCAAGCGUUGUCCGGAAUUAUUGGGCGUAAAGAGCUCGUAGGCGGUCUGUCGCGUCUGCUGUGAAAACUCAGGGCUUAACCCUGAGCUUGCAGUGGGUACGGGCAGACUAGAGUGCGGUAGGGGAGACUGGAAUUCCUGGUGUAGCGGUGAAAUGCGCAGAUAUCAGGAGGAACACCUGUGGCGAAAGCGGCUUACUGGGUCGUC